CCAAAUUGCAAAUUUCAGGCCCUUACUUCUUAAGGGAAACUAGCCUUUCCCUUCCCUGUCAGCUCACUUCACUGCCACAGUUGUAAAUUAUUCUGAGAUAUCUCCAGAGUCCCUUCUGCUGUGACUAUCUAAAGAUAUCACUUACCUGUUAAAACCCGAGAAUGCUAUUUACUGCAGAAAUCCAGCGGUAGGUCAGCAGAUCAGCUUUGCUCACAAGACUAGGUGAACACCUGAUUCAAAACGACUUCUUUGCCUUUUGCUUCCCCACUCCCAUUCCUAAGAGCAGCAGAGGACUCCUGGCUGAGGACACAAUUGUCUGCCCAUGUAGAUCUCAUAUGCAGGGACCUGACUGACUCUGCGACCAUGACCAAGACCAUAACCUGGUCCCAGCGAGCCUGCACUUGAUGACCUUUUGGGCACAGAUCAAAGCUUGCCGCCAUAUCAGAACAAAUCAGCAUUGCCAGAAGUGCCCCUUCCUGCUGGAGAUGGAGCGGAAAUGCCACCCCCAGCCCUGCCCGUUCUCCCGGGGGAUAUAGGCCCAGCAGCAGUAGCAGAAUUACACGUCUCCCUGGAAUCAAGCCAGACAUGCGGAUGGUUAUUAGCUGGAG
This is a long non-coding RNA of Chelonia mydas (Green sea turtle), 608 nucleotides long. RefSeq lists it as uncharacterized. Lineage: Eukaryota; Metazoa; Chordata; Testudines; Cheloniidae. The transcript has 4 exons. The record is from RefSeq and is a predicted model, not a curated record.